Molecule: long non-coding RNA, 286 nt
Organism: Gymnodraco acuticeps
Lineage: Eukaryota; Metazoa; Chordata; Actinopteri; Perciformes; Bathydraconidae
Exons: 3
Source: RefSeq, a predicted model, not a curated record
CUUAACUUACUCCCUCUACUGUGAUAAUACUUCUAGGAGCUGUACAGUCCACUGCACCCAGCUGUUGGUUGUAAAUAGUUGCAGCACGUAAUUCACGCCUCCACUCCAUGCUGGUUACCAGGGAGAUCAAGGUGAUCAUGAUUGAGUGUGCAGACCUGAAGAAUGUCAUCAACUACCAAGAGGUGGAAGCACUUAAACACACGAUCAAGGUUUUAUCCAUCAUCAAGUGGAGGGGUCCUAAGAGCAAUGAGCUGUCAUCUAAGUUUUGGAAAUAGGUGUUAUUUUA